GGACAACCUUCAACAACAACACCUUUGGCUAGAGGGCAAUGCGCUAGAGGGCAAUGGUCUGAAUUCUCAAGCCCCCACCAAUCAGGUAAGCUUAUAUCAUUGUUCUGGAAUGCGAAGAAUAUCAACACUCCCAUAAUCGCAGUACCUGCAUCAAGCGCCGCAGAGAGGAUGUAAUUGUGCCUCGCCCACCAAGUUUUGAACCUCCUGAAGAUGUAGUAGUUGAACACAACCCCAACGAUGGCCCAGGACCAGUAAUGCACAGCCUUAGCUUGUGGCAUGG
Molecule: long non-coding RNA, 280 nt
Organism: Arabidopsis thaliana (thale cress)
Lineage: Eukaryota; Viridiplantae; Streptophyta; Magnoliopsida; Brassicales; Brassicaceae
Product: other RNA
Exons: 1
Source: RefSeq